RNAcentral lists this ribosomal RNA (468 nucleotides) under uncultured bacterium. RNAcentral describes it as "partial 16S ribosomal RNA". It matches the Rfam family "Bacterial small subunit ribosomal RNA", at positions 28 to 507 of the family's 1533-position model. The record is from RNAcentral.
GACGAACGCUGGCGGCGUGCUUAACACAUGCAAGUCGAACGGAAAGGCCCUGCUUUUGUUGGGUGCUCGAGUGGCGAACGGGUGCGUAACACGUGAGUAACCUGCCCUUGACUUUGGGAUAACUUCAUGAAACUGGGGCUAAUACCGGAUAGGUGCUCCUGCUCCAUUGUGGGGGUUGGAAAGUUUCGGCGGUUGGGGAUGGACUCGCGGCUUGUCAGCUUGUUGGUGGGGGAGUGGCUUACCAAGGUGUUGACGUGUAGCCGGCCUGAGAGUGUUACCGGACAGAUGGGGACUGAGAUACGGCCGAGACUCCUGCGUGAGGCAGCAGUGGGGAAGACUGUACAAUGGGGGGAAGCCUGAUGCAGCAACCCCGCGUGCGGGAUGACGGCCUACGGGUUGUAAACCGCUUUCGCUUGUGAUGAAGCGUGAGUGACGGUAACGGGUAAAGAAGCACCGGCUAACUACGUG